GUGGGGAAUUUUGGACAAUGGGCGCAAGCCUGAUCCAGCAAUGCCGCGUGCAGGAAGAAGGCCUUCGGGUUGUAAACUGCUUUUGUACGGAACGAAACGGUCCGGGUUAAUACCCUGGGCUAAUGACGGUACCGUAAGAAUAAGCACCGGCUAACUACGUGCCAGCAGCCGCGGUAAUACGUAGGGUGCAAGCGUUAAUCGGAAUUACUGGGCGUAAAGCGUGCGCAGGCGGUUUUGUAAGACAGGCGUGAAAUCGCCGGGCUCAACCUGGGAAUUGUGCUUGUGACUGCAAGGCUGGAGUGCGGCAGAGGGGGAUGGAAUUCCGCGUGUAGCAGUGAAAUGCGUAGAUAUGCGGAGGAACACCGAUGGCGAAGGCAAUCCCCUGGGCCUGCACUGACGCUCAUGCACGAAAGCGUGGGGAGCAAACAGGAUUAGAAACCCGUGUAGUCC
This 450-nucleotide ribosomal RNA is filed under the name uncultured bacterium. RNAcentral's name for it is "partial 16S ribosomal RNA". It matches the Rfam family "Bacterial small subunit ribosomal RNA", at positions 354 to 796 of the family's 1533-position model. The record is from RNAcentral.